RNAcentral lists this ribosomal RNA (1108 nucleotides) under Chloromyxum sp. PB2. RNAcentral's name for it is "SSU rRNA". It matches the Rfam family "Eukaryotic small subunit ribosomal RNA", at positions 682 to 1762 of the family's 1831-position model. The record is from RNAcentral. Lineage: Eukaryota; Metazoa; Cnidaria; Myxozoa; Bivalvulida; Chloromyxidae.
GUUAUCCAAGUUGCCACUAUUCGUGGAAGCAUUUGCUGCUUUAUUGUUUGUGCAAUGUGUUCCGCGUAGUGUGCCUUGAGUAAAAUAGAGUGCUCAAAGCAGGCCUGUGCCUGAAUAUUGAUAGCAUGGAACGAAUAGCCGUGAUGUGUGUUUGAAACAGCACGGUGCAAGCCGUGUAUGUUUUGAAUGCAUAGCACUGACCACGAUACGGUUGUUGGUUACCGUAAUCGGGUAAUGAUUAAGAGGGACAUUUGGGGGCAUUGGUAUUUGGGCGCGAGAGGUGAAAUUCUUGGACCGCUCAAGGAUCAACAAGUGCGAAAGCAUUUGCCAAGAAUGUUUUCAUUAAUCAAGAACGAAAGUUAGAGGUUCGAAGACGAUCAGAUACCGUCGUAGUUCUAACCCUAAACUAUGCCGACCUGGGAUCAGCUCGGAAUAAAUCGAGUUCCAAGUUGGUCCCCCUGGGAAACCUAAAGUUUUUAGGCUCUGGGGGGAGUAUGGUUGCAAGGCUGAAACUUAAAGGAAUUGACGGAAGGGCACCACCAGGAGUGGAGCCUGCGGCUUAAUUUGACUCAACACGGGAAAACUCACCCGGUCCGGACAUCGAUAGGAUUGACAGACUGAUAGAUCUUUCAUGAUACGGUGGUUGGUGGUGCAUGGCCGUUCUUAGUUCGUGGAGCGAUCUGUCAGGUUAAUUCCGGUAACGAACGAGACCAAAAUCUCCAUUAUGGGUCGGUGUACUUUGUUAUGGUAUGCGCUUGGCCUAUGGAGAGACAACUGAUCUAAUUCAGAGGAAGAUUGGCAAUAACAGGUCUGUGAUGCCCUUAGAUGUUCGGGGCUGCACGCGCGCUACAAUGAUGACAACAGCGAGUUUCUAAACCGAAAGGUGCGGUAAUCUUGUAAAUUGUCAUCGUGAUGGGGAUUGAGCCUUGUAAUUAUUGCUCAUGAAAGAGGAAUUCCUAGUAAGCUCGAGUCAUCAGCUCGUGUUGAUUACGUCUCUGCCCUUUGUACACACCGCCCGUCGCUACUACCGAGUGAAUGGUGUCAUGAUGCCUUGGGACUGAAGCGCUACGUAACUUUUGUUGCGCAAGCUGUUUUGAAGCAAGGUAAA